AAACUUUCAACAAUGGAUCUCUUGGUUCCGGCNUCNAUGAAGAACGCACCGAAAUGCGAUAAUUAAUGUGAAUUGCAUAAUUCAGUGAAUCAUCGAAUCUUUUAACGCACAUUGCACCCCCUGGUAUUCCGGGGGGUAUGCCUGUCCGAGCGUCAUU
This 157-nucleotide ribosomal RNA is filed under the name Aspergillus ochraceus. RNAcentral's name for it is "5.8S ribosomal RNA". It matches the Rfam family "5.8S ribosomal RNA". From Rfam's summary of the family: 5.8S ribosomal RNA (5.8S rRNA) is a component of the large subunit of the eukaryotic ribosome. It is transcribed by RNA polymerase I as part of the 45S precursor that also contains 18S and 28S rRNA. The record is from RNAcentral. Lineage: Eukaryota; Fungi; Ascomycota; Eurotiomycetes; Eurotiales; Aspergillaceae.